GCCUUCAUGGUGUAGUGGUCAGCCCGCUCGACACGCAACUGAGAGGUCCGUGGUUCGAUUCUCGGCGAAGGCG
RNAcentral lists this transfer RNA (73 nucleotides) under Stegodyphus mimosarum. It matches the Rfam family "tRNA". Rfam says of the family: Transfer RNA (tRNA) molecules are approximately 80 nucleotides in length. Their secondary structure includes four short double-helical elements and three loops (D, anti-codon, and T loops). Lineage: Eukaryota; Metazoa; Arthropoda; Arachnida; Araneae; Eresidae. The record is from Rfam by way of RNAcentral.